Molecule: ribosomal RNA, 690 nt
Filed under: Staphylococcus aureus
Lineage: Bacteria; Bacillati; Bacillota; Bacilli; Caryophanales; Staphylococcaceae
Description: partial 23S ribosomal RNA
Rfam family: Bacterial large subunit ribosomal RNA
Source: RNAcentral
UCGAUUCCCUUAGUAGCGGCGAGCGAAACGGGAAGAGCCCAAACCAACAAGCUUGCUUGUUGGGGUUGUAGGACACUCUAUACGGAGUUACAAAGGACGACAUUAGACGAAUCAUCUGGAAAGAUGAAUCAAAGAAGGUAAUAAUCCUGUAGUCGAAAAUGUUGUCUCUCUUGAGUGGAUCCUGAGUACGACGGAGCACGUGAAAUUCCGUCGGAAUCUGGGAGGACCAUCUCCUAAGGCUAAAUACUCUCUAGUGACCGAUAGUGAACCAGUACCGUGAGGGAAAGGUGAAAAGCACCCCGGAAGGGGAGUGAAAUAGAACCUGAAACCGUGUGCUUACAAGUAGUCAGAGCCCGUUAAUGGGUGAUGGCGUGCCUUUUGUAGAAUGAACCGGCGAGUUACGAUUUGAUGCAAGGUUAAGCAGUAAAUGUGGAGCCGUAGCGAAAGCGAGUCUGAAUAGGGCGUUUAGUAUUUGGUCGUAGACCCGAAACCAGGUGAUCUACCCUUGGUCAGGUUGAAGUUCAGGUAACACUGAAUGGAGGACCGAACCGACUUACGUUGAAAAGUGAGCGGAUGAACUGAGGGUAGCGGAGAAAUUCCAAUCGAACCUGGAGAUAGCUGGUUCUCUCCGAAAUAGCUUUAGGGCUAGCCUCAAGUGAUGAUUAUUGGAGGUAGAGCACUGUUUGGACG